CCUACGGGGGGCUGCAGUGUGGAAUAUUGCACAAUGGGGGAAACCCUGAUGCAGCAACGCCGCGUGAGCGAUGAAGGCCUUCGGGUCGUAAAGCUCUGUCCUUAGGGAAGAAUACUGACGGUACCUUAGGAGUAAGCCCCGGCUAACUACUUGCCAGCAGCCGCGGUAAUACGGAGGGGGAGAGCGUUAUCGGGAAUUGCUGGGAGGAACGGGUGCGUAGGCGGCCCGUCAAGUGAGGGGUGGUAGGCUACGGCUCAAACGUAGUAAGCCUUUGAAACUGUAGGGCUUGAGUGCAGGAGAGGAGGGUGGAAUUCCCAGUGUAGCGGUGAAAUGCGUAGAUAUUGGGAUGACCACCAGUUGAGAAGGCGGCUCUCUGGACUGUAACUGACGCUGAGGCACGAAAGCGUGGGGAGCGAACAGGAUUAGAUACCCUGGUAGUC
Molecule: ribosomal RNA, 440 nt
Filed under: uncultured bacterium
Lineage: Bacteria
Description: bacterial SSU rRNA
Rfam family: Bacterial small subunit ribosomal RNA
Source: RNAcentral